Polyodon spathula (Mississippi paddlefish) is the source of this 1642-nucleotide long non-coding RNA. RefSeq lists it as uncharacterized. The record is from RefSeq and is a predicted model, not a curated record. The transcript is spliced from 5 exons. NCBI's taxonomy places the organism in Eukaryota, Metazoa, Chordata, Actinopteri, Acipenseriformes, Polyodontidae.
AACAAAAAACAAAACAAAAAAAACUGGUAUGCAAAAAGAACCGAAGAGCAAGUUCCUUUUCACUGAAAUGAUUGAAGAUAUCUGCGACUGUUCUAAGGAGACAGAAAAGACUCCAUCUGAAAUAAAAGAAGAAAAGUGACAAUGCGAUUCAUCCGAAUCACCGUGAUAAAAUGCUGCAUCCGCCAGACACCCAUAACCGAAUACUCACAUAUAAGAGAACCGAUAGAAAUGAAAGAACACCAGAACAUCAUUUUGGCUUAACUUCAAAAUCAACGGUUGCAACAAAAAACCCAGAAUUGUUGUGCACCAGCAAUUAGAUAUCCAUAUGCUGUUCCAGGAAAUGACGCUCGGGUGAUUUUACCCAAUACUAGGCGAAGGCAUUGCACCUUAGCAACUUCAGUUCGUUCCAAAAAGUAAAACAUACCCGCGUCUCUAACUCCCCUACAGUUUUGCGUCAACUUGAAAUCUGCACAGUUAUCGGAGCUUCUCAGAAAACAGGUGCUGAAUUAAUUGAUCUGCACCAGGAAGGCCCUUUAUCAGGUAUCUGCAGUCUGUGAAUGACGUCGCGCUAGAUGAGUGCUGUCCGUGGUCCUGAAUAAUAGAUAUCUGCGACUGUUCUAAAGAGACAGAAAACACUCCAUCUGAAAUAAAAGAAGAAGUGGCAAUGCGAUUCAUCUGAAUCACCGUGAUAAAAUGCUGCAUCCGCCAGACACCCAUAACCGAAUACUCACAUAUAAGAGAACCAAUAGAAAUGAAAGAACACCAGAACAUCAUUUUGGCUUAAUUUCAAAACCAAUGGUUGCAACAGAAAACCUAAAAUUGUUGUGCACCAGCAAUUAGAUAUCCAUAUGCUGUUCCAGGAAAUGACGCUCGGGUGAUUUUACCCAAUACUAGGCGAAGGCAUUGCACCUUAGCAACUUCAGUUCGUUCCAAAAAGUAAAACAUACCCGUGUCUCUAAGUCCCCUACAUUUUGGGGCGACUUGGAAUCUGCACAGUUAUCGGAGCUUCUCAGAAAACAGGUGCUGAAUUAAUUUAUCUGCACCAGAAAGGCCCUUUAUCCGGUAUCUGAAGUCUGUGAAGGAUGUCGCGCUAGAUGAGUGCUGUCCGUGGUCCUGAAUAAUAGGGCGGAAUGGUCCCAACGGUGCUUCCCCCUGAAGAUUGAAAACUGGCAACAGUGGACCCAAGCGAUGUGGAUGGGGCAUCGGGAGCGCAGGUUGGCGACUGGGUGGUUGCAGCAGCUGGCAGAGAAGUAAGCUCCGGAGAGAGCAGGAGACCAGGCAACAGACUGUGCCUGGCGAUGCAGUGACCAGCACCCUCUCUGGCACUCAGCUGCCUGGAAAGUGGAGACUCCUACAAGACCCAGUGACUGCCAGCGCUUUCACGAAGAGCCCCCACCACCUCAAGAGGAUUGAUGUCCAGACUCAGUCUGUUGAAAACCAUGCCUCUUCUACCCAACACUUGCGUCUCUUCCCUAGUGCACAUAUUGUGUAACUUCCUAAGGGUCCUACUGCUUGCAUUUGUCUUUCAGAUGAGACUCAUCUGGCCCCCUAUGCUCUUGCACAAUUGAAGUGGGAGUCCUUCUACUUGCUGUUUUUGCUGCCAGUUAUGAGUUGUUGGCUUUGUAUUUAAUAAAAACUUGAA